AUUUUUCAAGGGUAAAUUUGUUGAAGUAUGAAAUUUCGAUGUUGGAUUGCAAUACAAGAUUUUCGCUAUGAUAAGUAAAGGUGAAGAUUGUGUUGACGCAGAUGGGUUUUGACGAUGCUUUGCUGAGUUUUAAGAGGAUGCUAGCAAAUUUGUCUAUGGAGAAGAAACAACGGAGGGAUUGAAAGGCUCUAACACAGGCUCAUCUUCACUUAUCCAACAAUAUUCUGCAGGAUGUCUUGAAGGAGAAGGCAGCUACUGCUUUGUGGCUUAGUUGUGCAUGACAAAGAGUCUAACAAGCAAACUGACUCUAAAGCAGAAACUGUAUUCCCAUCACAUGGCGGAAGGAGGGUCACUACAGGUUCAUCUUGCUGUGUUCAAGGAGAUUGUUGCAGAUUUGGAAACGUUGGAGGUAAAAUAUGAUGAAGAGGAUUUGGCCUUAAUCCACUUAUGUUCGCUACCCAGUUCUUUUUCGUCAUUUCAUGAUACUAUAUUGUAUUGUCAUGACACGCUGACCAUUGAGGAGGUAUAUGACGCCCUGUUCUCAGAGGAGAAGAUGGAGCUAUUGGUUGGAGAUCCUACAUCUAGGGAUAGGGGUGCUCUGAUUACUCAUGGUGAUCAACAGAGGGGAAGAUCGAAGGUGAGAUACAACAAUAUGUAUUGUUAUUACUGCAAGAGGAAAGGACAUAUUAAGAAAGAUUGUGACAAGUUGCAGGGUAAAGUUGAUUUACUUGCAAAUCAUGCGGGGCAAUCAGGUAACGAGAUUAACAUUAUUGAGAAUUUUUUGGAUGAUGGAGAUGUAAUGUUCGCUGUAUCUGAUAGGAAAUCCAAACCUGGGGAGUGGAUUCUGAAUUCUGUAUGUUCGUAUCAUAUGUGUCCCAAUAGGACUUUGUUUUGACAUAUGAGACGGUGAAGUAAAAUGGGGUUGUCAUGGAAAUCAACCAAUCUUGUCGGGUUGUAGGAAUUGGUCGAAUCAAAUUGAGGCUACAAGAUGAGACAGUGAGGAUACUUGAUUAUGUUCGCCAUGUUCCAGACUUGACAAAGAAUCUCAUAUCGUGAGUACCCUGGAUGCAAAAUAGUAUAAAUUCUCUGAUGGAAGUAGAGUCUUGUAGGUCCGGAGGGGUGUCCAGAUUCUACUGGAGGGACGGAAGAAGUCGCAAUUGUACAUCUUGCAGGGGAACGCAAAACCAGUUAAGAAACAUCUGGACAAGUUCAAUACCGUGGUGGAUAUUCAGUUUGGUAUGGGUCGGUUCAGAACAUUGCUCAGGGGAGUGUUAGUGAUUCCGCUUUGCCAUUAAUUUCAGCGGUUGUGUGUUCAAAUAUCAGGGGUGGACUCAUGGAGCGUAGGUACAGUGGUAUUAUUGAUGUCCGUAAUGCUUUAGGGAUCGUUGAAGGUGACAGUUCUGACAAGGGACCUUCUGAUCAAGCACUUGGUAUGGUUUCUGUCACGGGGUGUGCUUCGACUCUAUUUGGUCAACAGUAAUUUCUUGGUAGAAUUUUGGGAACUCGGGAUUUGAGUUCAGAUGUCGCUUGUAAAUGCCUUGCAGAGGAAGAUAGUUUUGGUGAUGGAAAGUUUUGGUUAUUAUGUUGAAGAGUUUAGUUAUUUCGUUGCGCUGAAAUUUGGGUCAAGGUAGAGAUUGUCAGGUUGGAUGCCCCAAAUUAGAGAUGAGAAUCUUGGAGAUAGCGUGAUUGACUUGAUCUUGAAAAGAAAUCAAGGAGUAUCCAAGCAAGGAAACAAGAAAAAGAAAAAGGAAGGUGCCAUGAUUGUCUUCACGUGUGUGGGCGGAUUUUUCUUGUUUGCGUAUUUAACCUAAUUUUCUUACUUUUCUUGGACUCUUUCAGGGCUUGACUCAUGUAGUAUAAAUAUAUGUCUACUCUUUCAGUUUAGUUGAAGCUUUUUUGCUGUUCAGUUGUAAUCUCUCCAUAUUGUCGGGUUUAAUAAAAUUCAU
This 1946-nucleotide long non-coding RNA is filed under the name Olea europaea subsp. europaea. The record is from RNAcentral. Lineage: Eukaryota; Viridiplantae; Streptophyta; Magnoliopsida; Lamiales; Oleaceae.